This 482-nucleotide long non-coding RNA is filed under the name Phoenix dactylifera (date palm). RNAcentral's name for it is "long non-coding RNA (PDAC_LNC013491)". Lineage: Eukaryota; Viridiplantae; Streptophyta; Magnoliopsida; Arecales; Arecaceae. The record is from RNAcentral.
AUCUACAAGGAAUCUAUCGACCUUGAUAGAUGAGGAGUGAUCCUAUGUGAUUUAUUAGACUGAGUUCUAAGACCUUGGCCAGGGCACAAUAUAUAGUGGAAAAGAGUUUUCUACUCUCGAACUCAAGUCGAAUAAAUCUAGACAUAUGACAGACAACGAGGUUUGACGAGUUAUCCAUGACCUCCGGUCUGUAGGGAUCCACGAUAGAAGGACUGUAUCACAUGACAAUUGCACCUAGAGGUUCAUCAUUCCAUUCUGCUGGGUGGCCACUACAUGCUGCUAGGUGUCACUGGUGGAUGGUGGGACUUAUAGGGAUUCUCUCGAUGAUCGAUAAACCCUAAUGAGUUGAGUUGGAAUCGUUCCAACCCAUUGAAAGGAGUUUUCAAUGAUAUUAUGAUAGAGAUCACAAUAUAUCUCACUACCAGUCAGAAUAGAACCUAUGGGGUCACACACACUAGAAGUAUUGACCGAUCCGAUGGUUG